This 74-nucleotide transfer RNA is filed under the name Wolbachia endosymbiont of Onchocerca ochengi. Its description in RNAcentral is "tRNA-Arg (TCT) (tRNA-Arg-TCT-1-1)". It matches the Rfam family "tRNA". From Rfam's summary of the family: Transfer RNA (tRNA) molecules are approximately 80 nucleotides in length. The record is from Rfam by way of RNAcentral. Lineage: Bacteria; Pseudomonadati; Pseudomonadota; Alphaproteobacteria; Rickettsiales; Anaplasmataceae. RNAcentral also lists the same sequence under 2 other names.
GCGCCCAUAGCUCAGCUGGAUAGAGCAACAGCCUUCUAAGCUGUGGGUCGUAGGUUCAAAUCCUACUGGGCGCA